RNAcentral lists this ribosomal RNA (497 nucleotides) under uncultured bacterium. RNAcentral's name for it is "partial 16S ribosomal RNA". It matches the Rfam family "Bacterial small subunit ribosomal RNA", at positions 28 to 507 of the family's 1533-position model. The record is from RNAcentral.
GACGAACGCUGGCGGCGUGCCUAAUACAUGCAAGUAGAACGCUGAAGAGAGGAGCUUGCUCUUCUUGGAUGAGUUGCGAACGGGUGAGUAACGCGUAGGUAACCUGCCUUGUAGCGGGGGAUAACUACUGGAAACGAUAGCUAAUACCGCAUAACAAUGGAUGACACAUGUCAUUUAUUUGAAAGGGGCAAUUGCUCCACUACAAGAUGGACCUGCGUUGUAUUAGCUAGUAGGUGAGGUAAUGGCUCACCUAGGCGACUAUACAUAGCCGACCUGAGAGGGUGAUCGGGCACAAUGGGACUGAGACACGGCCCAGACUCCUACGGGAGGCAGCAGUAAGGGAUCUACGGCAAUGGGGGCAAGCCUGAACGAGCAAAGCCGCGUGGGUGAAGAAGGUUUUCAGAUCGUAAAGAUCUGUUGUAAGUGGAGAACGGGUGUGAGAGUGGAAAGUUCACACUGUGACGGUAGCUUACCAGAAAGGGACGGCUAACUACGUG